RNAcentral lists this long non-coding RNA (2832 nucleotides) under Vitis vinifera (wine grape). RNAcentral's name for it is "long non-coding RNA (VVIN_LNC007272)". The record is from RNAcentral. Lineage: Eukaryota; Viridiplantae; Streptophyta; Magnoliopsida; Vitales; Vitaceae.
UUCUCUCUAAAGAAAAUGAAAGAGGGAAUACUCCCCUCCAUUUGGCAGCUUCAUUGGGAAACAUUGAGAUGUGCAAAUGCAUCACCGGUGAGUAUAAACAACUAUUGUGUAAUGACCGAGUAUUUUAUGACACGUUAGCAUUUUUAGUUUGAAAAGUCUUAUUUUGUGUGAUGGUUGAAAAGUCAAAAAGAAAAGUAUUUGGAGAACACGUGUCAAUUUCAGAUUGGUGAAUUUCAUUUUAUUGUGUCGGUCAAUUAGAUGAGUUGAAAUUUUAUGUCAUGUCAGCCUUAGGGUAGAAAUUUUUUUAAGAUUUUAGAAAUUGAAAACUUCCGGAAACGAAAAACGAAAACGAAAAAAAAAAAGAAUUAAUUAAAAAUUAAUUAGAAUUAAUUAAGAAAAAAUUAAAUUAAAUUGAUGAAUAAUAAAAUUGAGAAAAUUAGUUUUGGAUUGGUGUUAAUAAAUAAAUUUGUGUGUUAAAAAAAUGAAUUGGAAAUCAAAUAAAACAAAUAGAAUAAACAAAAGAAAAGUAAAAUAAAAGAAAAGAAAUGAAAAUAUUCAAUGGGCUAUUAAACUUGGGCCAUGUAAAGGUAGUAUGGAUUGUUAAAAUGAAAUGAAAUGGAAUUGGGCCUUUGGUUUUGGGCUUAAGUGGCUGGUGAAAUUUUUUAAAGAAAAAAAAAAAGGGGGAAAAGGGGGAGAAUUAGAAACUGGCAGCACGCGGAGAGAGAGAGAAGGGCACUAUGCAGAAAUUUGGUCACUCGUCGGAUCUUUGACCGGCCGUUUGGACGGCCAAACGACCUCCGUUUCAGCCCAAAUUCGGAGGAAGUGCUCUAUUCGACUAGAGGAACAAGUCUAUGGUGGCUAAUUUCAUUUUUAACGAUCAACUUCUCAGAUUUGUGGUAGGGGAAAACUAACCCUAAAACUCAAAUUUAAUGUAUUUUUCAUUGGAAAAAAAUUUAUAAAUCUGAUAAUUAUGAGUUAAGUAGAUAAUUUUGAUGUUGUGUGAAUUUUCUGGAAUGAUUUGGGAUUUUUCUAGAGUUUUUUUGUAAUUUCCGGAAUUCUUUGCAAUUGAUAAUUAAUCAUUUUAGGUUGUUAAAAAUUAUUAGAAAUAUAGAAAAAUUCCGGAAUUAGGGCAAGAAUUCAAAUCUAGUGAUUUAUGAAUUUUUGAAAAUUGAUUAGAAUAUUUGCGGUAAUUUUAUUGUGAAAAAUUAGUUAUUUUCAAAUAUUGGGAAUUAUUAAAAUUAUUGAAAAAUUCUGAAAUUGUGAUAUAAAUUCAAGUAUAUUGAUGUGUGAAUUUCUGAAAAUUUGUUGGUGUAUUUUCGGGAAUUCACACAUCAAUAUACUUGAAUUUAUAUUACAAUUUCAGAAUUUUUCAAUAAUUUUAAUAAUUCCCAAUAUUUGAAAAUAACUAAUUUUCCACAAUAAAAUUACCGCAAAUAUUCCAAUCAAUUUUCAAAAAUUCAUAAAUCACUAGAUUUGAAUUCUUACCCUAAUUCCGGAAUUUUCCUAUAUUUCUAAUAAUUUUUAACAACCUAAAAUGAUUAAUUAUCAAUUGCAAAGAAUUCCAGAAAUUACAAAAAACUCCAGAAAAAUCCCAAAUCAUUCCAGAAAAUUCACACAGCAUCAAAAUUAUCUACUUAACUCAUAAUUAUCAGAUUUAUAAAUUUUUUUCCAAUGAAAAAUACAUUAAAUUUGAGUUUUAGGGUUAGUUUUCCCCUACCACAAAUCUAAGAAGUUGACUGUUAAAAAUGAAAUCAGCCAUUGUAGACUUGUUCCUCUAGUCGAAUAGAGCACUUCCUCCGAAUUUGGGCUGAAACGGAGGUCGUUUGGCCUUCCAAACGGCCGGUCAAAGAUUCGACGAGUAACCAAAUUUCUGCACGGUGCCCUUCUCUCUCUCUCUCUCUGCGUGCUGCCAGUUUCUAAUUCUCCCCCUUUUCCCCUUUUUUUUCUUUAAAAAAUUUCACCAGCCACUUAAGCCCAAAACCAAAAGCCCAAAAGUUUACCUCUGGAAGACUCCGAAUGGAGAGUAUAUUUGGGUGCGGACGCGUAUCCUUCGGUGAAAUCCCGAGAACGAUAAUGCAUUGUAUGACUGUGUGUCACACAUUCAUAUGUAUUCAUUUAAUGAUUGGAUGUUGUGGGAUUGAGUGUAAUGUUAUAUGUUAAAUUGUGUGACUUGAUUUAUAUUGGUAAACUGUUGUGUUUGGGUUAUUGAAAUAUAGUAAUCCCCCAUUAACCCUUUGGGUGUUAGGUACCCUACUAAGCAAUGAGGAAAUGUUCACCCCUUCCUUUUUAUAUCUUUUUAGAUGUAGAUAUCACUUCUGAGGAUCCACAAGUGGGACAGGGAGGACUUCAGGAUGCCCCUGGAGCGAUUUAGUGGAAUGUGUUUUAUUUUUUUGUUGUGUUUGUGGUAUUGAGACCUUGUAAUAAGUGAAUUAUGGAUAAUGUAAUAAGAUCUUAAUUUGAUUAAGGGGAUUUUAAUGAAAUUUUAUUUUGGAAUGCAAUGAUAUUUAUUAAAUCUUGAUGUGUUUGAAUAAGGUUUGAAAUAUUGUUAGUUGGUGAGAACCUACUGGGACUUAUAUGUGAAAAAAAUAAAAAAAUUUCAGAGUGUUUUGGUUGACUGCCAACGUGGAAUAAGAGAAACUCUUAUGGUCAAACCUUUGACCUGGGGUCACGGGCCAAAUUUUGGGUCGCCCGGAAUUUGGGUCGUGACAUGUUGCAUAAACGCAACAAAGAGUCUGAAACGCCUCUUUUCUUGGCAGUUCGCCAUGGUAAGAAAGACGCUUUCCUUUGGCUCUAUAAAGAGUUCGAGGACGACACAGAAGCGCAUGAGUGCUG